This 3300-nucleotide ribosomal RNA is filed under the name Brassica rapa (field mustard). RNAcentral describes it as "eukaryotic LSU rRNA". The stretch from base 367 to 1762 matches the Rfam family "Eukaryotic large subunit ribosomal RNA", at positions 24 to 1888 of the family's 3401-position model. The record is from RNAcentral. Lineage: Eukaryota; Viridiplantae; Streptophyta; Magnoliopsida; Brassicales; Brassicaceae.
ACUCUCGGCAACGGAUAUCUCGGCUCGCGAUCGAUGAAGAACGUAGCAAAAUGCGAUACUUGGUGUGAAUUGCAUAAUCCCGUGAACCAUCGAGUCUUUGAACGCAAGUUGCGCCCCAAGCCUUCUGGCCGAGGGCACGUCUGCCUGGGUGUCACAAAUCGUCGUCCCCCAUCCCUCGAGGAUAUGGGAUGGAAGCUGAUCUCCCGUGUGUUACCGCGACGCGGUUGGCCAAAACCGAAGCUAAGGACGCCAGGAGCGUCUUGACAUGCGGUGGUGAAUUUAAUUUCGCCAUAUAGUCGACGUCCGGUCCAAAAGCUCUUGAUGACCCAAAAGUCCUCAACGCGACCCCAGGUCAGGGCGGGAUCACCCGCUGAGUUUAAGCAUAUCAAUAAGCGGAGGAAAAGAAACUAACAAGGAUUCCCUUAGUAACGGGCGAAAUAACCGGGAAGAGCCCAGCUUGAAAAUCGGAUGUCUUCGGCGCUCAAUUGUAGUCUGGAGAAGCGCCCUCAGCGACGGACCGGGCCCAAGUUCCCUGGAAGGGGGCCAGAGAGGGUGAGAGCCCCCGUCGCGUUCGGACCCUGUCGCACCACGAGGCGCUGUUCACGAAGUCGGGUUGUUUGGGAAUGCAGCCCCAAUCGGGCGGUAAAUCCGGCCCAAAGGCUAAAUAUGGGCGAGAGACCGAUAGCGAACAAGUACCGCGAGGUAAAGAUGAAAAGGACUUUGAAAAGAGAGUCAAAGAGUGCUUGAAAUUGUCGGGAGGGAAGCGGAUGGGGGCGGCGAUGCGUCCUGGUCGGAUGCGGAACGGAGCAAUCCGGUCCGCCGAUCGAUUCGGGCGUGGACCGACGCGGAUUAAGGUGGUGACCUAAGCCCGGCUUUUUGUUACGCCCGCGAGAGACGCCGCUGCCUUAAUCGUGGUCUGCAGCACGCCUCACGGCGUGUUCUCGGCAUCUGCGCGUUCAGGGCGUCGGCCUGUGGGCUCCCCAUUCGACCCGCCUUGAAACACGGACCAAGGAGUCUGACAUGUGUGCGAAGUCAACGGGUGAGUAAACCCGUAAGGUUAAGGAAGCUGAUUGGCUGGAUCCCUCACGGUGCACAGCCGACCGACCUUGAUCUUCCGAGAAGGGUUCGAGUGUGAGCAUGCCUGUCGGGACCCCAAAGAUGGUGAACUAUGCCUGAGGGGGGGCCGAGGAAACUCUGGUGGAGGCCCGCAGCGAUACUGACGCGGCAAAUCGCUCGUCUGACUUGGGUAUAGGGCGAAAGACUAAUCGAACCAUCUAGUAGCUGGUUCCCUCCGAAGUUUCCCUCAGGAUAGCUGGAGCUCGGAAACGAGUUCUAUCGGGUAAAGCCAAUGAUUAGAGGCAUCGGGGACGCAAUGUCCUCGACCUAUUCUCAAACUUUAAAUAGGUAGGACGGGGUGGCUGCUUUGUUGAGCCAUCCCACGGAAUCGAGAGCUCCAAGUGGGCCAUUUUUGGUAAGCAGAACUGGCGAUGCGGGAUGAACCGGAAGCCAGGUUACGGUGCCCAACUGCGCGCUAACCUAGAACCCACAAAGGGUGUUGGUCGAUUAAGACAGCGGGGACGGUGGUCAUGGAAGUCGAAAUCCGCUAAGGAGUGUGUAACAACUCACCCGCCAAUCAACUAGCCCCGAAAAUGGAUGGCUGAAGCGCGACCUAUACCCUACCCGUCGGGGCAAGAGCCAGGCCUCGAUGAGUAGGAGGGAGGGCGGUCGCUGCAAAACCUAGGGCGUGUAGAAACCUUAAAAAAAAAAAAAAAAAAAAAAAAAAUAUUAUUAUUUAGUGGUUGUACCGCGGGCAAUGGAUGGUCGAAGAAUUGAUCAUGGGUGAACCAUAAGCUGCUGGACCAUGGUUAGAAAAGUGUUAGAUUGAUCAGGCGGCAGUUUUGGAAGAAUCACAUUUUGAAGCACGACGGUUUAGAAGCUUCGGCGUUUUGAAGAUUGGCGUUUCUUCAUCGCGAAGUUUUCUCAGAAUAUCUUCAUUAUCAGUAAAAUAUUAUUCUGAAGACAUUAUAAGUCGAAAAGCAGGACGGAAUUAAGCAGGGACGGGAAGCAAGCACGACGGGAUUGAAGCACGACGGGAAAACCCGAAGUUGGGCGAAAACCCUAAUUUUGGUAUUAUCGAUUUUUCGAGGAAGCCGGAGGCUCGAGAAAUAUUUUCCAUCAAGGUCAGGAUUCACUUGGGUUUAUUAAAAUAUUCAUCUCAUCAGAACGGGCGAGAAAAAUAUUCGGGAUUGAUCGCGGGACUAAAAAUUCAUCGGAAGGGUCGAAAUCAGUCGAAUGGACCGAGAAGUUCGAGCUGGCCUUAUCUAUGAGAUAAGGACGUGAUGUAACCUGCCUGGCAUGGUAUGUGGCAAGGGAAGCAGGAGGUGUUGAAGCCCAGGAGAGCACAGCAUGCUGAUUGACACCCGAAGCACGAGGUGCCGCGAAACCCGCGAUCGGAGACAUCUUUGAGCGACAUGUGUGCGCUGAGUGUCAAUCUGGAUGAGGUCAGGCCGUGGAUCAGACAUCUGGAGGGCAUGGUGUCACUCUGCAUGAUGUCCUGGUCAUGCCAUCAGACAUGUGGAGCACGAGGUGCCGCUGCGACGCGAUGCGUCCGAGAGCCAUCGCGAGGCGACACCACGGGCUGCCACACGGCUUGUUCUGAUUGGUUGCUUCAUCCUAUAUAAACCCCACGACCCCAGCUCAUUUUAAACCAUCCAGCACACCUGAAACUCAGAGAAAAACGUGAGAGAAAGCAAAGAAAAAGAAAGAUCGAAGUUUCGAUAGUUUUCGAAAGCGAUUUAGGCAGUUUUCGAGAACAUUUACUCUGCCGAUUUUGAGUCAGCACUUGGAGAAGAUUCUGUUCAAGAAGAGAGAUCAGUUCUAGUGGAGACCAGUUCAAGUGAAGAUCAGUCCAGACGUGGGUCUACUUGUGAAGGUCGGGAAGGGUUUGGAUCACAGAAGUCGGGUUUGGGGUCAAGGCCACGGUCAACCAAAAACUGUGAGUUAUAAUCAAUUGAUUGCUGAGUUGUUUUUAUGCAGGGUCCCGUUACUUGGAAGUUGGAUCAUGGCAGGAGGCCAGGUCUAACUGAGUAACGGUUUGAGUAGUUAAUAAUUGAGGUUAUGUUGUUUAAGUUGAUAGCAUGCUUAGUUAUUGCUUGAGAACCUUAGUAGCAUGCUAAUGGUUAGGUUGAUUGGUUAGUUAGCGAAUGCAGAAUGCUUAGAUGAUAUCGCUAAGUUGUGGAUAGUUAGGUAUUCUGGAAUUAGUCUUUAUGCUAGAUUCUGGAAUGUGGUUGAUUGUGUUGU